RNAcentral lists this ribosomal RNA (433 nucleotides) under uncultured bacterium. RNAcentral's name for it is "partial 16S ribosomal RNA". It matches the Rfam family "Bacterial small subunit ribosomal RNA", at positions 29 to 507 of the family's 1533-position model. The record is from RNAcentral.
AACGAACGCUGGCGGCAUGCCUAACACAUGCAAGUCGAACGAGACCUUCGGGUCUAGUGGCGCACGGGUGCGUAACGCGUGGGAACCUGCCCUUAGGUUCGGAAUAACUCCCCGAAAGGGGUGCUAAUACCGGAUAAUGUCUUCGGACCAAAGAUUUAUCGCCUUUGGAUGGGCCCGCGUUGGAUUAGCUAGUUGGUAGGGUAAAAGCCUACCAAGGCGACGAUCCAUAGCUGGUCUGAGAGGAUGAUCAGCCACACUGGGCCUGAGACACGGCCCAGACUCCUACGGGAGGCAGCAGUGUGGAAUAUUGGACAAUGGGCGAAUGCCUGAACCAGCAGUGCCGCGUGAGUGAUGAAGGCCUGAGGGUUGUAAAGCUCUUUUACCCGGGAUGAUAAUGACAGUACCGGGAGAAUAAGCACCGGCUAACUCCGUG